AUAUUGCCAUCUGAUCACAAAGGGGGUCUAACCCUAGAACUGUUUGAAAUCUCACUGCUUACCUGUUAAACUGGGCUCAAAAAGGUGAGAUGAUAAAGUCUGCUAUAAGUUAGUCCAAAUGUUGUGAAGGCUUUUAUAUGUUGUACUGUUAUAUCUUAAAGGAGGAGCUUGCAUAUAUGGCAAGAAUGGCCUUUUGUAUGUAACAUGUAUCGAGUAGUUUUACAACACUGAUGGAUAUGCUGAUGUCAUAUUUUCAUCCAUGAUGUCAUGCUUCAUUGGUGAUGUCAUAUUUUCAUGCAGUAUUACUGCUUUGUCAUAAUUCUACAUUGUUAUGUUUUAUAUGUAAUCAAAAUGGUUGUAUAAUAACCAUUUAAAUAUAGGUUUAUGCAUUGCCAAUACUCUAUUGUUCUUUAUCUAAGUGUAUGUUAUGUAGUCAACAUGUUGUUGCUAAUUUGACAUUCAAUCUGGUAUGGCAUGUUUUUAACAAUUUUGUUGACUAGAGUCGCAACCCUGAGUUAAGACCAGUAACAUAGAGUGUAUUCAAAAUAGGGGACUAACUAGGCGAAGGGUCAAAUAUGGCGACCCACUACAAAGUUCGCCAUCUAAUUCCCUAAUAGGCACUAAAUAGAUAUCCCGUGGGGAAGUAUUCAAGUGGGUCAGCCAUUUUUGACCCCAGGACUAAUUAGUCCCCUAUUCUGAAUAGGGCCAUAGGGUGCGUUCAGAACAGAUGAUCCACAGACAUACUGAACUACGUACUAAAUAUGGCUGUCCCGCCAAAAAAAAGUCGAUUUAUCCAAUGAUGGUCUCCCCGCCUGCGGAUAUGCCAUUAAACAGAUCAAAUCAGGGCUCAGAGGUUUAAUUGCUAGGCCCCUGCAAGGACGGCGUCUGUGGAGGCGGGGGGACCAUCAGUGGAUUAGUUGGCUCUGCUGUAAUGUUGGUCAGCCAUAUUUGAUCCGUGUAUCUGGUAGUCUGCAGAUUGUCUUGUUCUGAGUGCCUUCCUAAUGAAAUACCUUGCUGAGGCCUUCUUUAUUGGUCAAGUUAUUUAUUUGAAUUUUUAUUUGACUUUGAAGGCUAGUUAACUGCAUGGGAAUUAGUUAUAAAAGAAGAAAAACUGAAGUUAAAAAAAAUGUGCAGCAUCAUGUUUAAAAUGGCAGUGUGGUUGGGCUGUUUACUCCUGAUCAUUUUCCCAGCUUAUGUAGUGAAACCAUGAUAACAGUUGCAACAAAUAAACUGAGAAAAUUGGUGCUACCAAAAGUGAGCCACACAAAGCUUCAGUACUUUUAUGCCAAUCGUGUGUGAACAAUUGUUUGAAAAAAUUAAUUUUGUUGAGUGAACUAGUGUCUGCCAAUAAAGGCUACAGUAACCCCUAUGAAGUAUGUAUUAUUCACAUUGCCAACUAUGAACUUUAUUUCAAACUUCAGAUUUUCUUAUAUUGAUUGUAUGAAUUUUUUCUUAGAUGAAGUUCUGUUUGUAUAUUUAUGUAUUUGUUCUUUAAGGCUGAGAAUGCAGAUUUGUGGUUACUGGAUUUUUUUCUUUUGGAACACAGUUGAGAGAAAUAUCAUUGCUUCCGCCAUUAGUCAACAAUAAGGCUAGAUUUGAAAAUCAAUUAGUUUGAAUGGAUUGUUAUGUAGUGAGUGGAACAUAUUAAGGGGAAUGUUAUAUUUAUGCUGAAAUACCCUUUCAAUAUACUUAUGUUGUAUUUUAAAGAAAUGGGCAGGUUCAAAACUAAGAAUGUAUGAGUUGUUGUUCUCCAUUCUGUAUUUUAGAGUAUCCUUUACAUUUGUUACCAAUGCUACAUGUAUCAUUUCUUUUGACUGGUGAUUUCAAAGUCACUGUAUUCUAUAUACUUCUUAGUGUAAGAGUGACAAAUUUGGUAUGUGACAGCAAGUGAUGGCUGAAAAUAGAGCAGAACAAAAGAGAGGAGAGGAAAGUUUAAGUUUUGUAGAGGAUUGGUCGAAAAAUUUUCAAAAUGAUCAUGAACCAUAGGGUCUGGGUUGUUUUUUUUUUUUUUUUUUUUUUAAAUCCCAGGCCAUAAAUUUUGCAAUUUUACUCUGCAGAGGGUCUGGACUGAGACCUGAGAUUUUUACUGCUAAUUUGUGAAAAUUAUUUUCAUUCACUGCUCUCUGUUCACUUGCUCCUGCACUACUCCAUAUGCCAACACAGUUAUCAUUUUAGUUGUAAUAUUUAUUAUGUAUUCUGUAAAUAUAUAUCUACAAUUUGUAAACUUGGUGUACGACACCACUGUACAUAGUUAUAAGUAUACAUAUAUAAAUAUAUAUAGAAUCAUGCCAUA
RNAcentral lists this long non-coding RNA (2293 nucleotides) under Lingula anatina. Its description in RNAcentral is "uncharacterized LOC106170150". The record is from RNAcentral. Lineage: Eukaryota; Metazoa; Brachiopoda; Lingulata; Lingulida; Lingulidae.